Octopus bimaculoides (California two-spot octopus) is the source of this 810-nucleotide long non-coding RNA. The record is from RefSeq and is a predicted model, not a curated record. Lineage: Eukaryota; Metazoa; Mollusca; Cephalopoda; Octopoda; Octopodidae.
GCUAGUAUCUCACAGUCUGGGUAGGUGGCGCUAUGAGUUGAUCUAGGUGUAUACAUACCAUCUGUCAACAGACGGGAUAUAUUUUCCGUGACAAAACGCAAAUUUUAAAUUUGACCUUCCGUUGAAACGACCAAAUGAAACCAGUGUCAAAUGAACGAGAUAAGUAACACUUAGUGUGUUGUGCAAUAAUAACUUUUCUUUGCCUCAAGACUAGUUUGGACUUGAUAGCAACGAGAUCGGGUUGUCACUAGGUUAUAAUUUUGUGUAUGUUAUUUUCAAGUCUCACACGAGCGUUAUGCUAAAGGAGACGACAGAAAUACCCCAAAAAGUGAAGGUUGUCUUGCGGUUUUAUUUGGUAAAAUAAUUUUGUCUCGGCUUUUUACAAACUUUAUGAGAAUACAAUCGUCUCAGACCAAAUAUAUGUUUUCUGUGCAGAUUCUGAAGAUCUACUGAUACACUUUUAUCUUCUUCAUUAGACGGUCCUCAUCAUGCUUCACAGGAUAUGAAUCGCAUGAUAGAUUUACUGUAUUAAGAGCAACAGAUUUCGUUCCAUCAAUCAAUCGACUGAUACAUCUUCUGUGGUGCUCAUUAGAAGAAGAAAAAAAACAUCCCACCUGUUCGUGAAGUCACUGAUCCAUAUCUAGUCUGGUAACAUUCAUGUACUCUAACAUUUGACCAAACAACACAUCAGACUGACUGGCUCGAACCAUCUUCGGAAUUUUCCUGUACAUCUUCAAUUUCGUUACCAACUUCAUCGUAGUUUAUAACAGAAGAUACAAAAUAACAGGCCUACCAUAAAGGAUAAAAGAU